This 307-nucleotide ribosomal RNA is filed under the name uncultured bacterium. Its description in RNAcentral is "partial 16S ribosomal RNA". The record is from RNAcentral.
CCGAACCAGGUGAAGGACACCAGCGGAAACGUGCUCCCAUCUGGUGUGCUUACCACAUUCACAGUGAAUGUGGAUUCGAGUGCUCCGACAGCGAGCUUGAGCGCGGCGAAUAUCACCGCCGUCGCGACAUCUGGGCAGAGCUUCACAGUCACCUAUACCGACGAUGCUCAGAUCGAUGCUGCGACCAUCGAUCUUCCGAUGUGGUUGUCACGGGGCCUAACGACUUUUCGCGGGCGGCAACGCUUGCGAAUCCCGUGAGCGGAAGCGGCGCUGUUCGCACGGCGACCUAUCAGAUCGCCGGGCCCGC